Cricetulus griseus (Chinese hamster) is the source of this 760-nucleotide non-coding RNA. The record is from RefSeq and is a predicted model, not a curated record. NCBI's taxonomy places the organism in Eukaryota, Metazoa, Chordata, Mammalia, Rodentia, Cricetidae.
AUGAAGCUGAAUAUCUCUUUCCUGGCCACCAGCUGCCAGAAACUCAUCGAAGUGGACGAUGAACGCAAGCUUCGUACGUUCUAUGAGAAGCUCAUGGCCACAGAAGUAGCUGCUGAUGUUCUGGGUGAAGAGUGGAAGGGUUAUGUGGUCGGAAUCAGUGGCGGGAAUGACAAACAAGGUUUUCCCAUGAAGCAAGGCAUUUUGACCCAUGGCAGAGUGCGCCUGCUGUUGAAUAAGGGGCAUUCUUGCUAUAGACCAAGGAGAACCGGAGAGAGGAAGCACAAGUCUGUUCGAGGAUGCAUCGUGGAUGCCAAUCUGAGUAUUCUCAACUUAGUUAUUGUACAAAAAAGAGAAAAGCGUAUUCCUGGACUGACAGAUACUACUGUUCCUCGUCGGUUGGGACCUAAAAGAGCUAGCAGAAUUCGAAAGCUUUUUAAUCUCUCUCUAAAGAAGAUGAUGUCCGCCAAUAUGUUGUGAGAAAGCCUUUAAACAAAGAGGGUAAGAAACCCAGGACUAAAGCACCCAAGAUUCAGCAUCUUGUUACUCCACAUGUCCUGCAACACAAACGGCGUCUAUUGCUCUGAAGAAACAACGAACAAAAACAAACAAACAAACAACAACAAAAACAAGGAGGAGGCUGCAGAAUAUGCUAAACUUUUGGCCAAGAGAAUGAAGGAAGCCAAAGAAAAGCAUCAGCAAGAGACGUAGACUGUCUUCGCUGAGAGCUUCUACUUCUAAGUCUGAGUCCAAUCAAAAAUAA